This 496-nucleotide ribosomal RNA is filed under the name uncultured bacterium. Its description in RNAcentral is "partial 16S ribosomal RNA". It matches the Rfam family "Bacterial small subunit ribosomal RNA", at positions 28 to 506 of the family's 1533-position model. The record is from RNAcentral.
GAUGAACGCUGGCGGCGUGCCUAAUACAUGCAAGUCGAGCGAACGGACGAGAAGCUUGCUUCUCUGAUGUUAGCGGCGGACGGGUGAGUAACACGUGGAUAACCUACCUAUAAGACUGGGAUAACUUCGGGAAACCGGAGCUAAUACCGGAUGAUAUUUUGAACCGCAUGGUUCAAAAGUGAAAGACGGUCUUGCUGUCACUUAUAGAAGGAUCCGCGCUGCAUUAGCUAGUUGGUAAGGUAACGGCUUACCAAGGCAACGAUGCAUAGCCGACCUGAGAGGGUGAUCGGCCACACUGGAACUGGGACACGGUCCAGACUCCUACGGGAGGCAGCAGUAGGGAAUCUGCCGCAAUGGGCGAAGGCCUGACGGAGCAACGCCGCGUGAGUGAUGAAGGUCUUCGGAUCGUAAAACUCUGUUAUUAGGGAAGAACAUAUGUGUAAGUAACUGUGCACAUCUUGACGGUACCUAAGCAGAAAGCCACGGCUAACUACGU